RNAcentral lists this transfer RNA (83 nucleotides) under Anaerolineae bacterium. RNAcentral describes it as "tRNA-Tyr". It matches the Rfam family "tRNA". Rfam says of the family: Transfer RNA (tRNA) molecules are approximately 80 nucleotides in length. Their secondary structure includes four short double-helical elements and three loops (D, anti-codon, and T loops). Lineage: Bacteria; Bacillati; Chloroflexota; Anaerolineae. RNAcentral also lists the same sequence under 2 other names. The record is from RNAcentral.
GGGCAGGUACCCAAGCGGCCAAAGGGGGCUGACUGUAAAUCAGCUGGCAGACGCCUUCGGUGGUUCGAAUCCGCCCCUGCCCA